Long non-coding RNA from Cololabis saira (Pacific saury), 602 nucleotides. RefSeq lists it as uncharacterized. Lineage: Eukaryota; Metazoa; Chordata; Actinopteri; Beloniformes; Belonidae. The record is from RefSeq and is a predicted model, not a curated record. The transcript is spliced from 4 exons.
AGGCUGAUCCAUGCAGGUGUAUAAAGACAGGUGUUGAGGUGGUGAGACAGACGAGAAAGACUUGCAAGAAGAAAGAAGUUCACUUCUUUGUCUUGCAUCUGCUUGCUUUCCCUGCUCUUCGAAGAGGCGUUUCUUCCUGAUACAGCGAAACAACCAAAUCUUGAGGAUGAAUACGUCAGCAGCAUCACCAGUGGAAGGCACCAGGCCUACUCCCCCCGACUUCAACCAGAAGGAGAGCAGACAGUUCAAAAGCAAGGCUCCAAAACCUGGUCAGAAAAGCUUAAGCCUGUCAGGGAUGGACAGCUUUGAGGACUCGUCUGUGAUCUGCCCCUGGGAGGACUUUGGGGAUGCCGAGCUGAACAAGCUGGCUCAGUAUGGCAUCAUCUAAGCGGGCCGUCUCGGCCAUGUAUUCAUGAGAUUUCACCAAGCUUCUAGACUUCCCCCUCUGUGGGGGAUGAGGAGCACGCCCAGGCCCGGAGAAGAGCUCCGAUCACGUGGGAGCAGCUCCCGCUGUGGACCAGAACUCCGUGGCCCCAAACUCCGUGGCCCAAACCCCAACAUACUCUUGCUGUUAUUUUCUUUAAUUAAAUUAUAAAUUAAAA